This 292-nucleotide ribosomal RNA is filed under the name uncultured bacterium. Its description in RNAcentral is "partial 16S ribosomal RNA". It matches the Rfam family "Bacterial small subunit ribosomal RNA", at positions 336 to 645 of the family's 1533-position model. The record is from RNAcentral.
UUCCUACGGGAGGCAGCAGUGGGGAAUAUUGCACAAUGGGGGAAACCCUGAUGCAGCGACGCCGCGUGAGUGAAGAAGUAUUUCGGUAUGUAAAGCUCUAUCAGCAGGGAAGAUAAUGACGGUACCUGACUAAGAAGCCCCGGCUAACUACGUGCCAGCAGCCGCGGUAAUACGUAGGGGGCAAGCGUUAUCCGGAAUUACUGGGUGUAAAGGGAGCGUAGACGGCUGUGCAAGUCUGGAGUGAAAGGCGGGGGCCCAACCCCCGGACUGCUCUGGAAACUGUAUGGCUGGA